AGAGAUCUCCUCCUCGUUCUGUACACAUAGCUCGUCCAAGGGCUGCAUCUGGCCUUCCCUUGCCGUCGGGCCUGCCCUGUUCCCUCCUCUUGCCUCUGGAGAUGGACGCUAG
This 112-nucleotide long non-coding RNA is filed under the name Ursus americanus (American black bear). RNAcentral describes it as "Pvt1 onco conserved region 6 (ENSUAMG00000024259.1)". It matches the Rfam family "Pvt1 oncogene conserved region 6". The record is from RNAcentral. Lineage: Eukaryota; Metazoa; Chordata; Mammalia; Carnivora; Ursidae.